GAGGGCAACUUCCUAUUCUUGUUCAGAUUUGAAAAGAAACCCUAAAUAAAAUUGGACUUUGCCCCAAGUUUUAUUGGAGAUUGUAAAAAAAAAAUCCAAUUGAAAAGUUAAAGAAAACUAAUAAAUAAAAUUGUGAUUUUAUUUUUCAAACGGGUAACAGGUAUCUGUGGAUAUGGAUAGUGGGAUACCCGAACCCGAC
Molecule: long non-coding RNA, 199 nt
Filed under: Vigna radiata
Lineage: Eukaryota; Viridiplantae; Streptophyta; Magnoliopsida; Fabales; Fabaceae
Description: long non-coding RNA (VRAD_LNC012240)
Source: RNAcentral